CCUAACGAACCGCUACAUAAGCAGCGCUGCAGAAAGCAGCAAAUUAACCCAAAAAAUACCAACAAGAACCCAAUGCCUAGACAUAUAGGCAACCCGCAGCACCAACCAUCAGCAGGGGACAAGCUGAAUGACCCAAAACAAGACUACAUAAAACGCAUCAAGGACCACAGCACCGUGAUGGCCAUAGAUCGAACAAAGUGCAGCCAUAAUGGAAACAACUCUGUAGCACAGGCCACAACUGGACGCAUGCCAGCAGACAACAGCAAGGCUCCUCCUCUGAGAAGCAAUCAUCCGUGAGGAAAGCCAACCUGCAAUACAGCAGAAAACAGCAACAACCAACAGCAGGAAACCAGCCCGCCAGGCUGGACACAACAAACCAACUGAUUGUACAGAGCAACCAGAGGAACCAGCAGCCCACUUCAAGAGAUUGAGCCGACCAAACAGCUUCAAGAAGCACAACACAUCAGGCUGCAUAUAGCAGCAUCAACAGCCAUUCCAGCAGCAAGAAGAGGGAGUGGCAAACCCAGCAGCAACUACAGAAAGGGCAGCAAAUGAACCUGCAUAUAGCAGCAACAAAUAGCAGCAAAACAGCACCUCAUGAAAUCAGCUAUUCGAUGGAUUGGUGACUGGCUCCUCUUCAUAACCCAGGUACUUCUCAGCACCCAGACCCUGUUGUCGGGAAAUCGAGAAAUCUUUUCUCUAGUCUUAGAAGUGGUAGGAAAUUUCCUACCCCUUCUAUUCUGUAAAGUUUAUUCUGCUGGAUUUUCAGAGGGCGUAAUAGCCCUCUGAACCAUCAUGAGGUGACUCACCUCAUGAAAUCAGCUAUUCGAUGGAUUGGUGACUGGCUCCUCGGUUGCCGAUUGCUUGUGGAUGGCCCUUUUUGGGUUUGUUUGGCAGAGUUCUCCUGCUGGGUUGGCCAGUUCUGUACGCUUUCCUUGCGGGGUUUCUCUGGUUGUGUCAUGGUUGUUGCUGCAGAUUCCAAAUGCUAUAGUUUGCUUUGUUGGUUUGCUAGAAGUUGAUUUGCAGCUGUUAUGUGCUGUGAUAUUGUUUAGCUUCUGGAGGGAAGUCUGGUCAGUUGGCUUCUUGCGUCCAGCUUGUUGGUCCUUCUGUUCUUGGAUACUUUUCCGGCAGGCCUGCUGGGACGUGUCUGCUGUGGAUGUGUCCCUAGCUUUGCCUGACUGCUUUGCUGUGUGUCCUACGGGUUUUUGUUGUUGACUGCUGUUUGAAGUCCUGUUCUUGCUACCUGAGGCUGCUAAUGCUUUGGGUGGUUUGCCUAGCUGCUUGAAGCUAGUUGUUGGAGCUGGACUUCGUUCCAGCCCUAUGGUGCUGCCACUAUUGUUGGUUGGGUUUGUUUGUUCAGGCUGUUGCUGAGUAUUGUAUGACCCGGUUUUUGCUGGUUUGUUGAUACUUCGGCUGCUUGUUGCUGCGCUCUAUCCACCAGGUGGUUUCUGUAGCUUGUAUUUUCAUUUUGAGUUUGCUGCGUUUUGAAGGUGCAAAUAGAUGGUGUCCCGUUGAUGGAUGUGCAUCCUAGUCAGCGGUGGUUACUGCUACAUGCAGUAUACUUCUGGGUUUGUUUCAGUGGAAUACUCCUAGUAUGCUAGAGUAGCUGUGUGGUUUCCUCUCUAGCUAGUGUUGCUGUUUUUUGUAGCUUGGUUUGCUAUGCUCUUCGAAGCCGGAAGCUGACACUUCUGUUGGCUUUUGCUGGUCUGUUAUGUGAUCAUUGAUGUGUUAGGUGGUGCGACUGGGAUCGGAUCAUUGACCGAGCAAGGACACCCCACUAAAGGAAUAGAGGUGCAACCAGAAUUGGAUCUUCAACUAGGCGAGGACAUACUACGAGGGGAGCAGAUGGGGAGUAAAGGUAAGGACGUUGAUAACUGGCAAGAGGAAGGUCCUCUAGAUGAUACUACUUCUUAUGUGCCUGUAAUAUCAUCUUAGUCUAGACAAGGAGAAGCAGCGGGAAUUUAGAAAGAACAGGCCUUGAAAUGAACAGAGGGGUUACGAGCGACAAGGUCAGACCUGCAAGGAAAAACAAAGAUACCCCUCCGAUGACUUCAACAUGAGUAUCCACACCUUAUGCAAAUCCAAGGUUUCUAGUGCAAAUAGUCAAGGCAAUAAUAAAAGGUAUGACCAGUACUACACCUCAUAUUCAACAACAUCGACCCCACUAGUAACCCUAGGGAUUUACGCAACCACUGAUAAUGUGGUGCUCUUGGUAUGACUGGUUAAAAGCAUGAGAGAAAUGGGCUACAAACCCUAUAUGGGGGAGCAAUAUGUUGAAAUAGCUAGAAAAUGGAUCAUGAAAGUGGAGAAGACUACGAUUCAAAUUAAAAUUCCCGAAGACUUAGAGGUAAAUUGCGCCACACAGUUACUAUUUGAUCGAGCCAUGACAUGGUGGGAAACCGUCCAGUUAAGACGUGCUAUAGAAGCAUUGACCUGGAUUGACUUCAAAUUCAAAUUUGAAAAUCAAUUCUACUCCAGGUAUCAUUGCAAGGUGAAGGAACAAGAAUUUCUAGCAUUGAAACAAGGAGAGAUGUCAGUGUUAGAGCAUGAAAGGCGAUUUCAUGACCUCUCAUUAAUUGCCCCACAUUAUGUCUAAACCAAAGAGCAUAUGAUAAAAAAAUUUGAAGGAUGGUUUCCGCCAGGAGUUGAGGCAAGGAUUCAUUGCCUUACAAUUCAAAAUAGUGAGGGAGUUAAUUGAAGCAUCACAAGCAUUGUGUAACAACUCUGAUUUUCUACAUCCUUUUCUGCGAAUCAUUGAAAAUAUUCAGUGUAAUUUUUAUAUUAUUAUUAUUAUUAUUAUUAUU
Populus nigra (black poplar) is the source of this 2804-nucleotide long non-coding RNA. RefSeq lists it as uncharacterized. Lineage: Eukaryota; Viridiplantae; Streptophyta; Magnoliopsida; Malpighiales; Salicaceae. The transcript has 3 exons. The record is from RefSeq and is a predicted model, not a curated record.